UACGGGGGGGGCAAGCGUUGUUCGGAAUUACUGGGCGUAAAGGGCUCGUAGGCGGCCAACUAAGUCACACGUGAAAUCCCCAGGCUUAACCUGGGAACUGCGUGUGAUACUGGAUGGCUUGAAUCCGGGAGAGGGAUGCGGAAUUCCAGGUGUAGCGGUGAAAUGCGUAGAUAUCAGGAGGAACACCGGUGGCGAAGGCGGCUAUCUGGACGGUCACUGACGCUGAGAUGCGAAAGCGUGGGGAGCAAACAGG
This 253-nucleotide ribosomal RNA is filed under the name uncultured bacterium. Its description in RNAcentral is "partial 16S ribosomal RNA". It matches the Rfam family "Bacterial small subunit ribosomal RNA", at positions 524 to 776 of the family's 1533-position model. The record is from RNAcentral.